Molecule: small RNA, 858 nt
Filed under: Pan troglodytes (chimpanzee)
Lineage: Eukaryota; Metazoa; Chordata; Mammalia; Primates; Hominidae
Description: retained intron
Source: RNAcentral
GAGAAUGUGGAUUAUAUGAUUCAGGAGCUCCGAAGACCCAAAUACACUAUAUAUUUCAUUUAUUUCAGUAAUGUGAUCAGCAAGAGUGACGUGAAGUCAUUGGCUGAAGCUGAUGAACAGGAAGUUGUGGCUGAGGUUCAGGUAAACAUAUUGGUCCUGUAACACAUCUCGUAUGUUGGCCCUUUUUAAAUAUUUGAGUCUAAAAAUAAAAAAUAAGGAAAGGUCUGUCUCAAAAGAAGUUUUAUUAUGAAUACUUGAAUAUGUUUAUCACAUAAAUGAGUAAUAUUGUUUUCAGAGGCAGCAAAUAAACUAGUUUUGAAUUUUUCAGAAGGAUGUGAUAGGUGAUAAAUGAAUAAAAAGAAUACCUGUUUUAAAUUAUAUUCUCUCUCAUGACAACACAUUGGACAGCAAAGUUCUUUUUUAUCUGAGUAGAACAUUGUAUCUCCUAUUAGCAGUAUUUUAUUUUUACUAAUUGAUAAGUAUGCAUAGAGGUCUCCAGAAAUAUAAUGUGUAUAACCUUACAACCUUUAUUUGUUAGAUUUAUUAUUAUUGCUACUCUUUUGUAAUUAUUUUAAUUCUCCCAUGUUGACUGUUGUUACCCAAUUAUUAAUUGAACAAUUUUGUAUCUCUUUACACCUGUAUUUCACAAAGUUUGGCUAUAUCAUAUUAUAUCACUUAUGAAAAUAUUACUGCUUGAUACAAUUGAAGUUUAUGGAAUGACUAUUCUUGGUGCUUUAUUUGCAGGAAUUUUAUGGUGAUUACAUUGCUGUGAACCCACAUUUGUUUUCCCUCAAUAUUUUGGGUUGCUGCCAGGUAUGGAAGGAAAGGUUUAAUUUAUCAGUCGAGGGUUAAUUCAGC